ACAAAAAAGAUGCAGAGCUUUCAGACCUCAAAUAAUGCAAAGAAAACAAGUUCAUAUUCAUAAAGUUUUAAGAGUUCAGAAAUAAUCAAUAUUUGGUGGAAUAAUCCUGGUUGGUUUUUAAUCACAGUUUAUUUUUUUAUGCAUCUUGGCAUCAUGUUCUCCUCCACCAGUCUUACACACUGCUUUUGGAUAACUUUAUGCUGCUUUACUCCUGGUGCAAAAAUUCAAGCAGUUCAGUUUGGUGGUUUGAUGGUUUGUGAUCAUCCAUCUUCCUCUUGAUUAUAUUCCAGAGGUUUUCAGUUUGAUAAAAUCAAAGAAACUCAUCAGUUUUAAGUGCUCUCUUAUUUUUUUUGUCUAGAGCUGUAUAAAAGUUUCAUGUUUGAUCAGAAACGUUACUGAAAUUGUAAAAAUGCUGAAAACUACUGAAGUAAAAAUAUAAUGAAUAAGAAUAUUAAAAAAAACUUCAAUAUUUUAGUGAAAACAAGUCAAACAUUUAAAACCAUCAACCUUUCAAUUCUAUACGGUUUUCUAGUUUUAAUAUUUAUUUUCAUAUUUAAGAAUUAGAGUUGAUUCCUCAUUUAAACUGAUAGAGAGUAGAGAGAGAACAGCUCUGAAUUCAUUCAUUCAGAAUAAAUUAUUUUACUGCAGAAUAAAAGUGUUUUAUAUCACAUUAACCUGUAUCCUGUAUUGGGGUCAGGGUGUUUAAAGGGUUAAUGAGUGAUCGGCUGCAGAAUCUCAGGAUUAAACAGGUUUAAUCUCUUUAUAUCUGUUUAUUGAUGAUGCAGCACUAAAGUAAUAAUAAGAGAUCAAAUAACAGAACUCAGUUUACUGAUCUCAGACCUGCUUCUGCUGAUCUCAGAUAAACACACAGAUCUACAGUCAAAUAUUAAAUAAACUUUAAAAAUGUAGCACAUUAUUAUUUUACACAGUACUGUUCAAAAGUUUAGAAUAUAGAAUAUUAAUGAACUAUUAAUAUUUAAUACAUUUUCUAAAUGACGCUCCCCCAGUUAAACUCCAGGUAUAUCUGUGAGGAUUAAUCACAUGGUCUAGAGCAGAGCUCUUCACUGCUGCUCUGCACAUUUUAGAGGAUUACCUGCUUUAUACAGGCUGCAAGUAGUUGGUAUUUUGGGAGUCGACUAAACUGACUAGUAUUAUUCCCGUGAGUCAGUUAGAUUAAUGUACAAUUAAACGAUUAUUCAAUGAUUAGUUUACCAUUAGUGAACAAUAGUGAACAAUGAGACGAUAUAAUAAUACACUCUAUAAGACAAUUAGUCAACAAUUAGCUGACCAUAAAUCUGUGAUAGUCAGCAAUUACACGAUUAGUUGAUGAUUAGUUGAUGAUUAGUUGAUGAUUAGUUGAUUACGCUCCUGUUCUGCACACCUGUAAUCCUCACCCUGGUUUCUCUGCUUAACAAAACAUGAGACUCAUUGUUGAUUUAUAUGAAUUAAUCUUUGCAGCCUUACUGUUUUACCACAUCCUCUGAAACACAGCACUGAAGAACUAAUCUACACUUUAAUACAGAAUAUUUACUGUUUAUUUACUUUAUCAGUAAAAGUGACGAGUGGCAGAUUUUAAACAUGUAGUUUAUAAUAUUAAUUUCUGAAUGUUAUACUUUAACAGACGCAGCGUUUAUUAUUAUUAUUGAACAGGGUGCACUAUCUUUUGCACUUUGGUACUGUUGCUUUCCUGCACAAACCUUGUAUCUCCGUUUAUUUGCUGUUUUUUAUGGUGUAAUUCUGUAAUCCUGCAGGAGUUCUUCACGUUUAUUUACAUGUAGUUAAUAAUUUUGAUAAUUCUUUAAUCAAUAUGUAAAUCUGUUUACAUUUUACUGUGAAAGCUUGUUUUUGAUCAUUCUGGAUGUUUAAUAUUCGGAGAUAUUUGUUCCUAUUCUUUAUGAUUUUCAGUCUGUAAUUAUUCAGAUUAUUAUUUGAUCUGAAUAAAUAAACUCCUGCUGAUUAUCUGAAAGUAAGCUGAAGAUAAUGGAGCUAAAGUUUAAUUUUAUACAGGUAACUUUAGUGCACUGAUCUGAUAUUAGAGUGAAAUAUUGAUUCUGAGAGACGGUGAGCAGCGUGUUUUAAUCCAGGUUAUGUUGAUUAUUAUUCAUUUGCUGCUGAUUGAUCUGUACCGAAAUAGAGAUUUAUUUUAAGAAUCAUGUUGACCAAUCAAACUGCUCAUCUGUAAUUCAGAGAUCUGUAAGAUCUGUUUAUGAGCUCUGGAGAAAAUAUAUAAAAUAAAAAAUAUAGUUUUAGAAUACAGGCUGUACCUCCUCACCUCGACCACGAGAGGGCCUUACUCACCUUUAUAUUAAUGUGCUGUCUGCCAAGAAGCCUGAAUUAAAUCAGCUCUUAUUUACAGUGUUUAUUUAAUAAGGUCCAAAUCCCUGUUUACUAUCCGAAUAUCAGCGGCCUUAUUCAGGAAUUAGACAUAUCAGAAACAGAGAAUCCGUUCUGUAAUCACGCACACAUUAAUCUCACUUUUAUACAUUUGUUUUAUUAUGACUCACAAAAAGCAGCUUUCUAUCGUUAUUAUUUUAUAUAAAUAUUUUAUAUAGAGUUAGACAUUCCAGAUCAUAUAUUUUCUGAACUAUGACAGUAAAUAAUAUAUUUACAGUAAAUAAGAAAUGUAUCUCCAUGAUGUCACUCUUAUGCUCAUUACUGAGUUUAUGGUGUCAUUUUCCAGCUCUCUGUUCUGAAUGUGUAUGUUUUGUAAGGAGUCGAUGCACUGUUUCUUUAAAUGUUAAUGAUAAAGAUGAUCAAAUGCAAAAGAAAUGAAUAAAUAAAUCAUUUUUCACUGAA
Molecule: long non-coding RNA, 2796 nt
Organism: Astyanax mexicanus (Mexican tetra)
Lineage: Eukaryota; Metazoa; Chordata; Actinopteri; Characiformes; Acestrorhamphidae
Exons: 2
Source: RefSeq, a predicted model, not a curated record